Molecule: ribosomal RNA, 730 nt
Filed under: uncultured bacterium
Lineage: Bacteria
Description: bacterial SSU rRNA
Rfam family: Bacterial small subunit ribosomal RNA
Source: RNAcentral
AACAGGAUUAGAUACCCUGGUAGUCCACGCCGUAAACGAUGUCGACUUGGAGGUUGUGCCCUUGAGGCGUGGCUUCCGGAGCUAACGCGUUAAGUCGACCGCCUGGGGAGUACGGCCGCAAGGUUAAAACUCAAAUGAAUUGACGGGGGCCCGCACAAGCGGUGGAGCAUGUGGUUUAAUUCGAUGCAACGCGAAGAACCUUACCUGGUCUUGACAUCCACAGAACUUUCCAGAGAUGGAUUGGUGCCUUCGGGAACUGUGAGACAGGUGCUGCAUGGCUGUUGUCAGCUCGUGUUGUGAAAUGUUGGGUUAAGUCCCGCAACGAGCGCAACCCUUAUCCUUUGUUGCCAGCGGUCCGGCCGGGAACUCAAAGGAGACUGCCAGUGAUAAACUGGAGGAAGGUGGGGAUGACGUCAAGUCAUCAUGGCCCUUACGAGUAGGGCUACACACGUGCUACAAUGGCAUAUACAAAGAGAAGCGAACUCGCGAGAGCAAGCGGACCUCAUAAAGUAUGUCGUAGUCCGGAUUGGAGUCUGCAACUCGACUCCAUGAAGUCGGAAUCGCUAGUAAUCGUAGAUCAGAAUGCUACGGUGAAUACGUUCCCGGGCCUUGUACACACCGCCCGUCACACCAUGGGAGUGGGUUGCAAAAGAAGUAGGUAGCUUAACCUUCGGGAGGGCGCUUACCACUUUGUGAUUCAUGACUGGGGUGAAGUCGUAACAAGGUAACC